UACGUAGGGGGCAAGCGUUGUCCGGAUUUAUUGGGCGUAAAGCGCGUGUAGGCGGCCAGAUAGGUCAGCUGUGAAAACUCGAGGCUCAACCUCGAGCUGUCGGCGGAAACCAUCUGGCUAGAGUCCGGAAGAGGAGAGUGGAAUUCCUGGUGUAGCGGUGAAAUGCGCAGAUAUCAGGAAGAACACCUAUGGCGAAGGCAGCUCUCUGGGACGGUACUGACGCUGAGACGCGAAAGCGUGGGGAGCGAACAGG
RNAcentral lists this ribosomal RNA (253 nucleotides) under uncultured bacterium. Its description in RNAcentral is "partial 16S ribosomal RNA". It matches the Rfam family "Bacterial small subunit ribosomal RNA", at positions 524 to 776 of the family's 1533-position model. The record is from RNAcentral.